CAGCCGCCACGGUAAUACGUAGGGUGCAAGCGUUAAUCGGAAUUACUGGGCGUAAAGCGUGCGCAGGCGGUUCUAUAAGACAGAUGUGAAAUCCCCGGGCUCAACCUGGGAACUGCAUUUGUGACUGUAGAGCUGGAGUGCGGCAGAGGGGGAUGGAAUUCCGCGUGUAGCAGUGAAAUGCGUAGAUAUGCGGAGGAACACCGAUGGCGUAGGCAAUCCCCUGGGCCUGCACUGACGCUCAUGUACGAAAGCGUGGGGAGCAAACAGGAUUAGAUACCCCAGUAGUCCCUGUCUCUUAUAC
RNAcentral lists this ribosomal RNA (301 nucleotides) under uncultured bacterium. RNAcentral describes it as "partial 16S ribosomal RNA". It matches the Rfam family "Bacterial small subunit ribosomal RNA", at positions 509 to 807 of the family's 1533-position model. The record is from RNAcentral.